GCACCAACAUAUUACAUCUCAAUGGUUCUUUUCCUUCUCCGCAGCUUACUUUGCGCCAGCCGUGUGUGUUAUCUUCACCGGGCAUCGUCCCCAGUUAAUCAUGGACGUGAACUACUUUGGGAAUAUGCACGAAAUCUUCGCUUGCUCGGAAUAGAUGCAAGAGAGAUUGAAUCAUACAGAGCUCUAUGGCAGUGCGUUGCCCCCAAAGACAAACAAGAUCACAUCCAGUUUUGAUGUAAACAACAUUGUCGGUAUAUAGAAGUGUUGCAUGUAGGUCCUUCAAAUUGCGUAGAUAUAUCUGGUGUUGUUCAUUAGGUCGGAAAAUUGUAUGAUUUAUAUAUAGAGCACUUGACUUUUCGGUU
Long non-coding RNA from Brachypodium distachyon (stiff brome), 362 nucleotides. RefSeq lists it as uncharacterized. The transcript has 2 exons. The record is from RefSeq and is a predicted model, not a curated record. Lineage: Eukaryota; Viridiplantae; Streptophyta; Magnoliopsida; Poales; Poaceae.